CUGUUGAUGGUAUUAUUGUCAACGAGGACAUUGCCACAUUUGCUGCUGGUCUUGCUAUGCUGUUUGCAAGCUACUACCGUACAACUUGAACAUCAUGUACCCUGCAGAAUGUGCUUCUACACUGGAAUUCAUUCAAAGGUGUUUUGUCCGCAUCAACCUUGACAGGUGUAGCAAAGUGGAGAUUAAGAAGAAUUCCAAGAGGUAUUCUCAAAUUUAUCCAAAAGUUCUGAGUUUGAUUAAUGCCCUUGCUCAUGUGGAUUGGAGGAGUUAAGGCCACAAAAGUGUGGUUAUUUGGUUUUGAAGGUUUUGUUUAAUUUUUUGGUUGUGAUUAUUAUUUCAGUUAUGAAAUUUAAAGGAGUAUUUUGAAAGCUGUUCUUAGGAAUUUUUGUGUCAUGGAAGUUACUCUUUUUAAUUUCAUGUGUUGAUGAGAUUAAUUUCUUUUCAAAAUCUUCAUAAGGAAGUACUAUAAGUUUCUCAGCAGUUGGUCAUGGAGGCUUAGCGUUUCAAAACGUCAUAUUUUUGCACAUUCACUGCAGUUCUCUUUACAUUUAGGUGAUAUGUUUCACCACAUGUAAUAUGGAGCAUUUUGUACUUUUAUAUAAUCUGUGAUGUUAACAUUUCAUACUCAGGAAAGAUAUGAUCAGUUUCCGCGUAAGUGGAUUUUUAAUAGUUGCCGUCAUGGGAGAAAUCUCAGCAAAAUGGCUUUUGUACCUUAAAAAUAAAAUAUUACUUAUCA
RNAcentral lists this long non-coding RNA (736 nucleotides) under Portunus trituberculatus (swimming crab). RNAcentral describes it as "uncharacterized LOC123517035". Lineage: Eukaryota; Metazoa; Arthropoda; Malacostraca; Decapoda; Portunidae. The record is from RNAcentral.